ACGGAGGCCGCUAUCGGACGAGCGAGCAAGAUGGUCGCCGGAGAGGACGGAGGAGCACCUCUUCCGCCUCUCCGCGGUCUCUGUCUCCGACGCCGAGGGCUUGGUCCUUCCUCCGCUGCCCUUUCUUCUCUACGAAUCGAUAUGGGGAAGCUUACAUCUCUUCAGGUGCUGGACCUUGUGGACUACUCUGACAUCUUACAAGGAUGGCUCUGUUUCACUGUAAGGAUCCCAGAAGGCAUUGAUUCCUUGGGACAGAGUCUCCUGACCUUUCAAUGAGCAAUCCUUCAGGUGCUCCUGCAUGUUCAAGAUGAGAUCAUUGAGCCUCAUGAACUUGUCCGUGACAACUUAUCAGGGAGAAUUAUAUAAGGUAGGCAGUCUAAUACCUUCAGUUGCCAAUCAAGACGUUUGUGGAUGGCCAUUGCAGCAGCUUGAUGGUGCAGCCGAGGAGCGUGGAAAUAGAGAUGCAUAAAAUCCUGUGAAGUUCUGGGCUUUGCAUCCCACAAGGAUCUGUGGUGGGCUUCUUUGAUGCAGUAAUGGUUUCUGAUGACAAGAAUUGUCUCUCCGUGCAUUCGCAGUGAGCUGCAGUGAAACAAAAAAGGUCCCUCGGUGAGCAAAGACCACUAGUCAUUAGCGAAGGACGGGAUGCUGUCAAGAACUGGAUGUGGCACACAAAACCGAGUACGGUACAAGUGAUGUGACAGACAAGAGAAGGAAAUCUUGCAACGAGAAAGGUGUGGCACUCAUGGAGAACUCGGAAUGGUGGUUGGUGCCUGUUGUCGUUUGUCCUCUUCUCAGCCCAAAUCUUUGACACCCAAAACUGGACCUUUCUCUUUUCUGAACACCCAAGUCCUGCAGCCACCAGUGCAUCAUUCCCUUGCUUGACCUUUCCAUCACUCCAAUGGAUUCUUGCCGGAUCUAGGCAGAUGAGCACCACAUAACCACAGAUAUUUUGUUCUUGAUGCUUACCUCCAAUUGAAUGUUUUUUUUGGCCUUCAAAAAGUUAUUCAUACUCUUGAAGUAUUUCUCCAAAUCUAUUGGCCCUUCCAACUUAGUUUUUCACUACAAGUAUUCUU
Musa acuminata subsp. malaccensis (wild Malaysian banana) is the source of this 1073-nucleotide long non-coding RNA. RefSeq lists it as uncharacterized. The record is from RefSeq and is a predicted model, not a curated record. NCBI's taxonomy places the organism in Eukaryota, Viridiplantae, Streptophyta, Magnoliopsida, Zingiberales, Musaceae.